Molecule: ribosomal RNA, 229 nt
Filed under: uncultured bacterium
Lineage: Bacteria
Description: partial 16S ribosomal RNA
Rfam family: Bacterial small subunit ribosomal RNA
Source: RNAcentral
UACGAAGGUCCCGAGCGUUGUUCGGAAUCACUGGGCGUAAAGGGAGCGUAGGCGGCAUGGUAAGUCAGAUGUGAAAUCCCGGGGCUCAACCCCGGAACUGCAUCCGAUACUGCCUUGCUUGAGGGUUGGAGAGGUAGCUGGAAUUAUCGGUGUAGCAGUGAAAUGCGUGGAUAUCGAUAGGAACACUCGUGGCGAAGGCGAGCUACUGGACAACAUCUGACGCUGAGGC